CCUACGGGAGGCAGCAGUCGGGAAUAUUGCGCAAUGGAGGAAACUCUGACGCAGUGACGCCGCGUAUAGGAAGAAGGUUUUCGGAUUGUAAACUAUUGUCUGUAGGGAAGCUAAAAGACUGUACCUAAGGCGGAAGCGCCUGCUAACUAUGUGCCAGCAGCCGCGGUAAUACAUAGGGGGCAAGCGUUAUCCGGAAUUAUUGGGUGUAAAGGGUGCGUAGACGGAAGAACAAGUUGGUUGUGAAAUCCCUCGGCUCAACUGAGGAACUGCAACCAAAACUAUUCUCCUUGAGUGUCGGGGAGGAAAGUGGAAUUCCUAGUGUAGCGGUGAAAUGCGUAGAGAAUAGGGGGAACAUCAGAGGCGAAGGCGACUUUCUGGACGAUAACUGACGUUGAGGCACGAAAGUGUGGGGAGCAAACAGGAUUAGAUACCCUUGUAGUU
RNAcentral lists this ribosomal RNA (441 nucleotides) under uncultured bacterium. Its description in RNAcentral is "partial 16S ribosomal RNA". It matches the Rfam family "Bacterial small subunit ribosomal RNA", at positions 338 to 795 of the family's 1533-position model. The record is from RNAcentral.